Molecule: small RNA, 803 nt
Filed under: Pan troglodytes (chimpanzee)
Lineage: Eukaryota; Metazoa; Chordata; Mammalia; Primates; Hominidae
Description: retained intron
Source: RNAcentral
CUUUCCUCCAGUCUCGGGGCUGCAGGCUGAGCGCGAUGCGCGGAGACCCCCGCGGGGGCGGCGGCGGCCGUGAGCCCCGAUGAGGCCCGAGCGUCCCCGGCCGCGCGGCAGCGCCCCCGGCCCGAUGGAGACCCCGCCGUGGGACCCAGCCCGCAACGACUCGCUGCCGCCCACGCUGACCCCGGCCGUGCCCCCCUACGUGAAGCUUGGCCUCACCGUCGUCUACACCGUGUUCUACGCGCUGCUCUUCGUGUUCAUCUACGUGCAGCUCUGGCUGGUGCUGCGUUACCGCCACAAGCGGCUCAGCUACCAGAGCGUCUUCCUCUUUCUCUGCCUCUUCUGGGCCUCCCUGCGGACCGUCCUCUUCUCCUUCUACUUCAAAGACUUCGUGGCGGCCAAUUCGCUCAGCCCCUUCGUCUUCUGGCUGCUCUACUGCUUCCCUGUGUGCCUGCAGUUUUUCACCCUCACGCUGAUGAACUUGUACUUCACGCAGGGCUCCUCCGUGUGUCAAGUGACUGCCAUCGGUGUCACCGUGAUACUGCUUUACACCUCUCGGGCCUGCUACAACCUGUUCAUCCUGUCAUUUUCUCAGAACAAGAGCGUCCAUUCCUUUGAUUAUGACUGGUACAAUGUAUCAGACCAGGUCAGUGGGGGCGCUGAGGAGGUGUCACCUGACCAGGGACUCUUGGUAUCCUCGAGGCAUUGGUUCCAGGACCCCAGAAAAUACCAAAAUCUGGAUGCUCAAGUCCCUGAUAUAAAAUGGUGUAGUAUCUGCAUAUAACCUACACGCAUCCUUCUGUAUA